This 301-nucleotide ribosomal RNA is filed under the name uncultured bacterium. RNAcentral's name for it is "partial 16S ribosomal RNA". It matches the Rfam family "Bacterial small subunit ribosomal RNA", at positions 509 to 807 of the family's 1533-position model. The record is from RNAcentral.
CAGUAGCCGCGGUAAUACGUAGGUGGCAAGCGUUGUCCGGAAUUAUUGGGCGUAAAGGGCUCGCAGGCGGUUUCUUAAGUCUGAUGUGAAAGCCCCCGGCUCAACCGGGGAGGGUCAUUGGAAACUGGGAAACUUGAGUGCCGAAGAGGAGAGUGGAAUUCCACGUGUAGCGGUGAAAUGCGUAGAGAUGUGGAGGAACACCAGUGGCGAAGGCGACUCUCUGGUCUGUAACUGACGCUGAGGAGCGAAAGCGUGGGGAGCGAACAGGAUUAGAUACCCCGGUAGUCCCUGUCUCUUAUAC